Pollicipes pollicipes is the source of this 766-nucleotide long non-coding RNA. RefSeq lists it as uncharacterized. NCBI's taxonomy places the organism in Eukaryota, Metazoa, Arthropoda, Thecostraca, Pollicipedomorpha, Pollicipedidae. The record is from RefSeq and is a predicted model, not a curated record. The transcript has 2 exons.
CGCCGCUGCCGCUGCACCAGCUGGUGAGCGAGGCGCAGGGCUGCCUGGGCCACGCGCUGCGCCUGCGCUCGGCGUACCCGCACGGCUCGCCACGCGUCACCGGCGUCACCACCAAGCAGGGGCGCUGGACCACAGUCGACUAUAUAUUUCACAGCGUGGCGCCACUGCCAGGCGCCUCGGGUCUGCGGCUGCUCUCGCGCCUGGCGCUGCCUACGGCCAGCCUCUGCCAGCAGCUGCGGCCGUAUCCCAGCGAGGCGCUGCCCUCCGACCACCUGCCGCUGGCCGUCCAGUUCCGGCUGUGCCCACCCGCUACCUGGUGGUCCGACCCCACCAGCUGACCGGGCCCGGGCGCCGGCCAACACCGGUAGUCUGGAGCGGCCGCUGGCUGGAGGCUGUGGCCUGUAGUUAACGCAGGGGGAUGGGACUGAGACGUGCAGGGGGAUGGGACUGUCCGCCGACCCAGGUUUCAGACGAAGUCGGCGGUAGCAUCCACGCCCGCUCCGCCGCGCUGGAUGGUGCAGGAGCAGGCGAGCAGAUUGCCUCUGGCUGGUGCUGCCACGCGCACCGGAGCGAGAAUGGGCCGCCCGGCCGACGCGUGUCGGAUGGCCGUGGUGGAGACGUGGCUGCGUGAUGCAGCCGCGCCCUGGUACAAACGCUCGGUCCCGACGUUCGUGGAUUGAGUGUGUUGCCAAAUGACAAACUGCUGGCACGUCGCUGUGCGGCGUGUCGCUUGGCGUGCGCUCAUUAAUACAUAACUUACGGCGCG